AGAAGAGAGGCAUAUGUUUUCCAAACAGCAGUCAAUCUGGGCUCCAACAAGAGGGCUGCCUUGAGAAGUUCACUGGUAUGAUUAUAUGGUUUCUGUUGUCCAGGUGCAGCUCUUCCUCUAGAUGUAUUAUCCAUGCAGUGUAUAAUUACAACAUGAUUUGGGAAAUGAAGCCCCUGUUGCAUAGUAAAAACACUCAUGAGAUGAUCAUUCUUGUAUAACUACAAGCACUAAAAGCAGCAAAUCCCAUGUGUGAACUCUGAUCACACCUAGCAGGCUGCUGAGAAAGAAACAGGUUGAGAUGCUGAUCUCGCGAGUGCCAGGAUAAAUAGAAUGUCUCCCUGCCUGCUCCAAGGUUUAAACUGGUAGCCUGCUUGAAUUUUGUUACACUCUCUGUGGUUUGUGGUUUAUUGCUUCCCGUGGUUUGUGAAAAGAGACACCGGGACUAACGAGUGA
Molecule: long non-coding RNA, 453 nt
Organism: Pezoporus flaviventris
Lineage: Eukaryota; Metazoa; Chordata; Aves; Psittaciformes; Psittacidae
Exons: 2
Source: RefSeq, a predicted model, not a curated record